This 498-nucleotide ribosomal RNA is filed under the name uncultured bacterium. RNAcentral describes it as "partial 16S ribosomal RNA". It matches the Rfam family "Bacterial small subunit ribosomal RNA", at positions 30 to 523 of the family's 1533-position model. The record is from RNAcentral.
AUUGAACGCUGGCGGCAUGCCUUACACAUGCAGGUCGAACGGUAACAGGUCUUCGGAUGCUGACGAGUGGCGAACGGGUGAGUAAUACAUCGGAACGUGCCUAGUAGUGGGGGAUAACUACUCGAAAGAGUGGCUAAUACCGCAUGAGAUCUACGGAUGAAAGCAGGGGAUCGCAAGACCUUGUGCUACUAGAGCGGCCGAUGGCAGAUUAGGUAGUUGGUGGGAUAAAAGCUGACCAAGCCGACGAUCUGUAGCUGGUCUGAGAGGACGAUCAGGCACACUGGGACUGAGACACGGCCCAGACUCCUGCGGGAGGCAGCAGUGGGGAAUUUUGGACAAUGGGCGAAAGCCUGAUCCAGCAAUGCCGCGUGCAGGAUGAAGGCUUUCGGGUUGUAAACUGCUUUUGUACGGAACGAAAAGCCCCGGGUUAAUACCCUGGGGUCAUGACGGUACCGUAAGAAUAAGCACCGGCUAACUACGUGCCAGCCGCCGCAGUAA